RNAcentral lists this ribosomal RNA (429 nucleotides) under Chloroflexota bacterium. Its description in RNAcentral is "Chloroflexi bacterium partial 16S ribosomal RNA". It matches the Rfam family "Bacterial small subunit ribosomal RNA", at positions 355 to 776 of the family's 1533-position model. Lineage: Bacteria; Bacillati; Chloroflexota. The record is from RNAcentral.
UGGGGAAUAUUGCACAAUGGGCGCAAGCCUGAUGCAGCCAUGCCGCGUGUGUGAAGAAGGCCUUCGGGUUGUAAAGUACUUUCAGCGGGGAGGAAGGGAGUAAAGUUAAUACCUUUGCUCAUUGACGUUACCCGCAGAAGAAGCACCGGCUAACUCCGUGCCAGCAGCCGCGGUAAUAUGGAGGGUGCAAGCGUUAAUCGGAAUUACUGGGCGUAAAGCGCACGCAGGCGGUUUGUUAAGUCAGAUGUGAAAUCCCCGGGCUCAACCUGGGAACUGCAUCUGAUACUGGCAAGCUUGAGUCUCGUAGAGGGGGGUAGAAUUCCAGGUGUAGCGGUGAAAUGCGUAGAGAUCUGGAGGAAUACCGGUGGCGAAGGCGGCCCCCUGGACGAAGACUGACGCUCAGGUGCGAAAGCGUGGGGAGCAAACAGG